UACGUAGGGGGCUAGCGUUGUCCGGAAUCAUUGGGCGUAAAGCGCACGUAGGCGGCUUGGCAAGUCGGAUGUGAAAUCCCUCGGCUCAACCAAGGAAGUGCAUCCGAAACUGCUGAGCUUGAGUACUUAAGAGGAUCGCGGAAUUCCCGGUGUAGAGGUGAAAUUCGUAGAUAUCGGGAGGAACACCAGUGGCGAAGGCGGCGAUCUGGGAAGAUACUGACGCUGAGGUGCGAAAGCGUGGGGAGCAAACAGG
RNAcentral lists this ribosomal RNA (253 nucleotides) under uncultured bacterium. RNAcentral describes it as "partial 16S ribosomal RNA". It matches the Rfam family "Bacterial small subunit ribosomal RNA", at positions 524 to 776 of the family's 1533-position model. The record is from RNAcentral.